Molecule: ribosomal RNA, 460 nt
Filed under: uncultured bacterium
Lineage: Bacteria
Description: partial 16S ribosomal RNA
Rfam family: Bacterial small subunit ribosomal RNA
Source: RNAcentral
CCUACGGGAGACAGCAGUGAGGAAUAUUGGUCAAUGGACGAGAGUCUGAACCAGCCAAGUAGCGUGAAGGAUGACUGCCCUAUGGGUUGUAAACUUCUUUUAUAUGGGAAUAAAAUGUUCCACGUGUGGGCUUUUGUAUGUACCAUAUGAAUAAGGAUCGGCUAACUCCGUGCCAGCAGCCGCGGUAAUACGGAGGAUCCGAGCGUUAUCCGGAUUUAUUGGGUUUAAAGGGAGCGUAGGUGGAUUGUUAAGUCAGUUGUGAAAGGUUGCGGCUCAACCGUAAAAUUGCAGUUGAAACUGGCAGUCUUGAGUAGAGGAGAGGUGGGCGGAAUUCGUGGUGUAGCGGUGAAAUGCUUAGAUAUCACGAAGAACUCCGAUUGCGAAGGCAGCGCACUGGACUGCAACUGACACUGAGGCUCGAAAGUGUGGGUAUCGAACAGGAUUAGAUACCCUAGUAGUC